AACCUGGUUGAUCCUGCCAGNAGUCAUAUGCUUGUCUCAAAGACUAAGCCAUGCAUGUCUAAGUAUAAGUAUUAUACAGCGAAACUGCGAAUGGCUCAUUAAAACAGUUAUAGUUUAUUUGAUAAUCGAAUUUACAUGGAUAACCGUGGUAAUUCUAGAGCUAAUACAUGCUGGUGUGCCCAACUUUUUGGAAGGGCGGUAUUUAUUAGAUAACAAGCCAAUAUUCCUCUGGUCUAUUGUGGUGACUCAUAAUAACUGAUCGAAUCGCAAGGCCUAUGGCCGCGAUAAGUCAUUCAAGUUUCUGCCCCAUCAGCUUUCGAUGGUAGUGUAUUGGACUACCAUGGCGUUUACGGGUAACGGAGGAUUAGGGUUCGAUUCCGGAGAGGGAGCCUGAGAAACGGCUACCACAUCUAAGGAAGGCAGCAGGCGCGUAAAUUACCCAAUCCUGACUCAGGGAGGUAGUGACAAGAAAUAACGGAC
Molecule: ribosomal RNA, 480 nt
Filed under: uncultured marine eukaryote
Lineage: Eukaryota
Description: SSU rRNA
Rfam family: Eukaryotic small subunit ribosomal RNA
Source: RNAcentral